Molecule: unclassified non-coding RNA, 374 nt
Filed under: uncultured Eubacteriales bacterium
Lineage: Bacteria; Bacillati; Bacillota; Clostridia; Eubacteriales
Description: contains 16S-23S intergenic spacer region
Source: RNAcentral
UCCCGGUUAACCCGGGCAGUCUCGCUAGAGUGCCCAACUUAAUGAUGGCAACUAACGAUAAGGGUUGCGCUCGUUGCGGGACUUAACCCAACAUCUCACGACACGAGCUGACGACAACCAUGCACCACCUGUCUUCCUGCCCCGAAGGGCUUCCUCUAUUAAGAGUAAUUCAGGAGAUGUCAAGUUUAGGUAAGGUUCUUCGCGUUGCUUCGAAUUAAACCACAUGCUCCGCUGCUUGUGCGGGCCCCCGUCAAUUCCUUUGAGUUUUAAUCUUGCGACCGUACUCCCCAGGCGGAAUACUUAUUGCGUUAGCGGCGGCACAGAAGUCAUGACAACCCCUACACCUAGUAUUCAUCGUUUACGGCGUGGACUAC